AAUUGGCUUAGUGCAAUAUUAAACUCUUUUCACUUGGUUGCAUGCUUGCCCACAGGCAUUCUAACUCCUCAACUUCUCAUUGCAAUUUGAAGGGCAAUAUCAUCAUAAACUAGUCUGUGAUUGGAGCUUCCAUGGCCUGCCAUUCUCUCAAAAGCCGAGGAUCAAGGAUAUCUUGAUUGGACCCAAAUAGCUCAAUGGAGAUAAUCUUGUUUACCUUGGCAGGAUGAUCUCCAUCGUCUGCUUGUCUUUCAAGAGUUCAAUGCUGCGGUGUUUCAGCCUCUUCGAAUAACUGUUGGCUCGAGAGCCAUGCAUCGGGUCUUGGCAUAGGAUAUGGAUCCUGAGAUGGAUGAGGACCGAAGCGCGAUGCUUCCCACCAUAGCCCAGCUCCACUCCAUUCCCACCAUAGCCCAGCUCACUGGAGUGGAGACGAUGUUGUGCCCGGGCAGGACGGCCAGAAUUAAAUAGAUGCUCUCAUCAUGCAGCGAGUCUUUGGAGAGGCUCAUCAAGUCAUGCAAGACUGCGAGCAAUGCAAAGGUGAUCCACAACCAAAUCCUUUGCACCCACCAAAACCUCACCACCUUUGUGUGCAAUCUGCUGCUGGAGAUGCACUCAAAAUGCGGGAGCAUCUCUCUCGCCCGCCACGUCUUCGACAACCUCUGCCCGCCCUCUUGCAGAGAUUCCUUCACCUGGGUUCUCA
Molecule: long non-coding RNA, 697 nt
Filed under: Selaginella moellendorffii
Lineage: Eukaryota; Viridiplantae; Streptophyta; Lycopodiopsida; Selaginellales; Selaginellaceae
Description: long non-coding RNA (SMOE_LNC000768)
Source: RNAcentral